UACAGAGGUCCCAAGCGUUGUUCGGAUUCAUUGGGCGUAAAGGGUGCGUAGGCGGCGCGGUAAGUCGGGUGUGAAAUCUCGGGGCUUAACUCCGAAACUGCAUUCGAUACUGCCGUGCUUGAGGACUGGAGAGGAGACUGGAAUUUACGGUGUAGCGGUGAAAUGCGUAGAUAUCGGGAGGAACACCAGUGGCGAAGGCGGCUUCCUGGACCAGUACUGACGCUGAGGCGCGAAAGCUAGGGGAGCAAACAGG
RNAcentral lists this ribosomal RNA (253 nucleotides) under uncultured bacterium. Its description in RNAcentral is "partial 16S ribosomal RNA". It matches the Rfam family "Bacterial small subunit ribosomal RNA", at positions 524 to 776 of the family's 1533-position model. The record is from RNAcentral.